AAUGAACGCUGGCGGCAUGCCUAACACAUGCAAGUCGAACGAAGGCUUCGGCCUUAGUGGCGCACGGGUGCGUAACGCGUGGGAAUCUGCCCUUGGGUUCGGAAUAACAGUUAGAAAUGACUGCUAAUACCGGAUGAUGUCGUAAGACCAAAGAUUUAUCGCCCAAGGAUGAGCCCGCGUAGGAUUAGCUAGUUGGUGGGGUAAAGGCCCACCAAGGCGACGAUCCUUAGCUGGUCUGAGAGGAUGAUCAGCCACACUGGGACUGAGACACGGCCCAGACUCCUACGGGAGGCAGCAGUGGGGAAUAUUGGACAAUGGGCGAAAGCCUGAUCCAGCAAUGCCGCGUGAGUGAUGAAGGCCUUAGGGUUGUAAAGCUCUUUUACCCGGGAUGAUAAUGACAGUACCGGGAGAAUAAGCUCCGGCUAACUUCGUGCCAGCAGCCGCGGUAAUACGAGGGGAGCUAGCGUUAUUCGGAAUUACUGGGCGUAAAGCGCACGUAGGCGGCUUUGUAAGUUAGAGGUGAAAGCCCAGAGCUCAACUCUGGAAUUGCCUUUAAGACUGCAUCGCUUGAAUCCAGGAGAGGUGAGUGGAAUUCCGAGUGUAGAGGUGAAAUUCGUAGAUAUUCGGAAGACACCAGUGGCGAAGGCGGCUCACUGGACUGG
RNAcentral lists this ribosomal RNA (662 nucleotides) under uncultured Alphaproteobacteria bacterium. Its description in RNAcentral is "bacterial SSU rRNA". It matches the Rfam family "Bacterial small subunit ribosomal RNA", at positions 28 to 737 of the family's 1533-position model. The record is from RNAcentral. Lineage: Bacteria; Pseudomonadati; Pseudomonadota; Alphaproteobacteria.